GCCAGUGUGGCGUAGUGGUUUGAGCAUUGGACUAUGACUCUGGAGACCAGGGUUCAAAUCCUGGCUCGAUCA
Phrynosoma platyrhinos (Desert horned lizard) is the source of this 72-nucleotide non-coding RNA. The record is from the annotation of a GenBank genome assembly. NCBI's taxonomy places the organism in Eukaryota, Metazoa, Chordata, Lepidosauria, Squamata, Phrynosomatidae.